CAAGAGAGGGCCACGCUGCCAUCUUUCAGACCGCAUCGAACUCCUCCUUUCCGCCGCCGCCGCCGCCGCCGCAGCCAUUCAUGGCGAGGCGCCGCCGGGGAGGAUUCGAACAUUAAUCCAUGCUAUUCCCCACCCGUCCCUGUAAAUCCCAAGCUCCUGCCGCCGUAGCUGCUAUCUGCAGCCUCCGCCCCUCCUCCUCAUCGCCGGCGCUUAUUCCUUCCCCGUAUCACGACGACAACCCAUUCGCCUCACUACUCACUUCCGAUCCCCCUCCGCCGGAUCCGCUCCGCCAGGUUCUCGCCACGGGAGACGUCCACGGCGCGCUCCGCGGCCUCCCUGGCCUCGCUCGCCAGCUGUUCCGGUGGGCGGAGGGCACCCCUCACGGUUUCCCCCGCUCCGCCUCCGCAUUCGCCGCCGUCCUUGUCCCGCUCGCUGAGGCCAGGCGCAACCGCUCCGCUUAUCCCGUCUCCCUCCGCGCUAUCCAGGCUGGCCUUCUCCUUCCCCUCAUCUCUCUCCUCCUCACGUAUCCCCUGUCCCCCUCCUCCCACCACCUCCUCAACUUCCUCUUACGCAUGUCCACCAAGUUUGUGCCCGAAUGCCAAGCUCAGGACCCUGCGCCCACCAGCUGUUCGACACAAUGCCUUUCCGCCUUCCAAGAGAUGGCGCGUCAAGGUGUCGCCCCUUACGUCAAGGUGUGCAACUGCGUGCUCUCUGUGCUGUGCGACGCGGCCAGGUGGGACGACAUGCGUGCUGUGUAUUCAGAUAUGCUUCAGCUUGGGGUUGAGCCAUCCAUUGUCACAUACAAUACAUUGCUGGAUUCUUUUUGUAAGGCAGGGAGGAUCGAUCAGGCUGUCAUGCUGCUCAAGGAUAUGGAGGCCCAAGUUGCUGGCUGCUUGCCGAAUGAUGUCACCUAUAAUGUGGUGAUCAGUGGGCUGGCCAGGAAUGGUGAGCUGGACAAGGCGGCUCAACUGGUUGACAGAAUGCGGUUGUCCAAACAAGCGUCAGCCUUCACAUAUAAUCCACUUAUCAGUGGGUUGUUAGCAAGGGGUUUUGUUGAAAAGGCUGAUGCUUUGCAGCAGGAGAUGCAGAAUGAUGGCAUUGUGCCAACGGUGGUGACAUACAAUACAUUGAUUCAUGGGUUAUUUAAAAGAGGGAACGUGGAGGCGGCAGAGUUGAAAUUUCUGGAAAUGAGGGCAAUGGGGUUGCAGCCAGAUUUGAUUACUUACAAUUCCUUGAUAAAUGGACAUUGUAAGGCAUGUAAUUUGAAGCAGGCACUUUGGUUGCUUGGUGAUUUGAGACGUGCAGGGCUAGCACCGACAGUUAUGACAUAUAACAUCCUUAUAGAUGGCUAUUGUAGAUUAGGUAAUUUAGGGGGGGCUAUGAGAUUCAAGGAGGAGAUGAGAGCAGAGUGCUGCCUGCCCGAUGUUUGUACAUAUACUAUUCUUAUGAAUGGGUCAUGUAAGGUCAAGAACAUUGCUAUGGUAAGGGUGUUCUUUGAUGAAAUGCUGAGUAAGGGUUUAAAGCCAGACUGCUUUGCUUACAACACAAGGAUUUCAGCAGAGCUGACUCUAGGUGCUAUUUCCGAUGCUUUUCAGUUGAGGGAGGAGAUGAUGCCGAGUGGAAUUUCUUCCGAUACAGUUACAUAUAAUAUUCUUAUUGAUGGACUGUGCAAGGCUGGUAGCCUGAAAGAUGCCUAUGUGUUGUGGAUGAAGAUGGUCAGUGAUGGGUUACAACUUGACUGUGUCACAUACACUUGCUUGAUUCAUGCACAUUGUAAGUGGGGGCUUCUAAGGAAAGCAAAUAAUAUUUUUCGUGGCAUGGUUGCAAGUGGUUUGUCACCCUCGGCUGUGACCUAUACCAUUUUUAUUCACACAUACUGUAGGGUGGGAGAUCUUGAUUCAGCAUAUGGCUGGUUCCGGAAGAUGCUGGAAGAAGGAGUGGAACCUAAUGAAGUAACAUAUAAUGUGCUCAUGAAUGCACUAUGCCGGAUAGGGAGAACUGAAUUGGCUUAUCAAUAUUUUCAUGAGAUGCUGGAGAGAGGAUUGGUGCCAAACAAAUACACAUACACUUUGUUGAUAGACGGGAACUGUAAAGAAGGUAACUGGGUGGAGGCUGUAAGGCUGUACUGUGAAAUGCAUCAGAAAGGUAUUCAUCCAGACCAUUGUACACAUAAUGCCUUGUUUAAGGGAUUUGGUGAAGAUCACAUGCACGACACAAUUCAGUACUUGGAGAAUGUUGUUUUGGGUGCAUAGGACGGUCUUCAAGAAAGAUGACAGACGGAAUUUGGGGUGACACUCUGGAUAAAGGAGCUAUGUGAUUUCCAGACAGAUAACACAAACAGGUCCUUCUCUUGCUGUGUGAACUUCCUCACAAUUUCCCCCUGGUCAUAUGCUCAUGGUCAUGGAGAAACAACCCCCAUUGUUUUUUCUUUUCUUUCGAUAAGGCAUAAUGGAAAUCUUUUGACCAUGCCUCCCCAGUAUCUACUAUCUCAAAAGUGAAUGGCUAUGGACCUUUUGGGCCGAGCUUCAACAAUAACAUAUAGGCUUUCUCUUGGUAAGAUACUACCAAGAAUUUUGUAAAACGAAUAAUCCUUGUACCACAGAUUCACGGUCAAUUUUGCCAUAGUCAUCUGACACACACAUUGACUUGUCAGAUAUGUAACACUGUUCCCAUUCUUUGGAUCAUUUAAUGGAUUCUCUUCUUCUCAAUGAUUAGUAUGGUGGGUGGAGGGGAAUUUUUGUCUCAACUCUCAACCGGUAUCAGCCAAAACACUUCUAUUUAUGAGAUUGAACUGCAGUGCAACGGCCCUUUAAUUGAGCGAACCACCUUAGCAUUUUUUGUUUCAUUUAUUUGUGCUCUAAAGUCAUUGCAUAGCUUUUCUAUACUGCUGCUAGAUUGUGGAGCGGCUUGGCAGGAGGGGACUGCCGACCUACGGCAACUGCAUUCUUCUCAUUACACCGUGAAACCACCGAUCACCUUUUGACCGGUUUUGGAGGAAUUGCUGCCCUGGAGAGGUCUACUAGCCUGCACUCCAACGCUAGGGUGUGAAUUCGGUCCUUGGUGGAUUGAGAAACAUGAGGGGAUUCAACGCCUUUGUCCUGUUGAUAGCCUGGACAAUUUGGAUUUUUUUUUGAUAUGGUUUCCAGUGAAAAAGCCUAACCUGUUAAGCAGCUAGUGAGGACAGUCAAAGACUAUAAUGCGCUAGGUGGUGUGAGGCUGGCUAUAGCGAGAUGAGAAAGGCUGCUUGUUCGUGGUGGUUUAGCAGAAAUUAUUUAGCCUUCCCUAGCUAGCCAUGCUUCCGUAUGGUCUGUUUUUUUUCCCUCUUUCUUUUACCCUUUCUUCCUGUGGCUUGAUUCAAUCCAAAUUCGGCAGUUUGUUGCUCGGUUUGGGGCAAAGUUGUAAGUGUUGUUUCCUAUCCUAAUAUAAUGUCAUGCAGGCCUACUGCAUGUUCUCUAAAAAAGAGAGAUUAGAUUUGCAGUGCAAACCUGUUUAAUUCACCUACAGUAUGUCUUUCGGCGACUCUUCGAAUGGUCAAAUUCCAUCCAACUUCUACUCCUAGAAACGUUCCACGAGAUUAGGAUGAUAAUCGUGUGCAUAAGCCUGGGGUCAUCUAUGUUGGUUAGUAAGCUGAUCCAGUGAAUUCUGAUAUCUGGACCAUCUGAUUUAUUUUC
RNAcentral lists this ribosomal RNA (3671 nucleotides) under Triticum aestivum (bread wheat). Its description in RNAcentral is "partial small subunit ribosomal RNA". Lineage: Eukaryota; Viridiplantae; Streptophyta; Magnoliopsida; Poales; Poaceae. The record is from RNAcentral.